Long non-coding RNA from Lolium rigidum, 2442 nucleotides. RefSeq lists it as uncharacterized. Lineage: Eukaryota; Viridiplantae; Streptophyta; Magnoliopsida; Poales; Poaceae. The record is from RefSeq and is a predicted model, not a curated record. The transcript has 2 exons.
CAUCCAAACAUUCACACGAUGGUGUUAAGGCUUAUGGUUUCUGCACCAAGAUUUUGGCGGUGAGGGGUUUUCUCGACAGCAAGGACUGCCAAGGUUUCUGUCGAUGAUGAAGAUUCCAACUCUCCCAUGGCUGAGCACCCGCCAUGCAUUAAGUUCAAGACGCCGGACAAGAUGGACAGUCACAUUAUGAAUGUUCGUGUGCUGGUUAUUUUUAUAUAAGUAUGCAAGUUCUUUCCAAUGGAAAUCAUCAUCAAUUUUGCUGGUGGUCUGGUCAUUUUGUAUCACUACGUUUGUCUUCGCUGAGGAUACACUUUUCCCAGAUUGUUUCUUCCACAACAAGGCAAACCAGGACAUCUCUCUUCCUAAAUGAGAUUCAAUACAACUCUCUUCACACAAUUUGAUUAUUUUGUUUUGUCGAGUGGUCGAAUCCCUAUCACAAUGAGUCGUACAGUAUAAAUGAUCUUCAGAGUUGUCUGAUGAUCUCAUUGGAUAUCAGGCUUCAAAAUUGGCUCUUCUUUGGAUGUCAAACAAAUCUAUCUAAAGUGUAUUUCUCAAGAUAAAUAAAAUGCUCCAAGUAUUUUCCAGUUCAUAUGAUUAGUGUCUCAAGUUAUUCUCAAGUUCUUUUUCUGUAAUUGUACGCUGCAAUUUGAUGGCUCCUGUUUCCUGCAAUUCAGUUACGGAUGUACUGUUAGGAAUCCAUUGUGGCUUAUUUAUAUUUGUGGAUCAAAAAAAUGGAGAGGUUUCUCUCCUCUCCACCUGCAAGGUUCGAUCCUUCCUCGACUGCCCCGAGCUAGAUGAGUUCUUAUUGCAAUUUUGUGUUCUUAGGACAGAGGCACGGACUAACAAGUUCUGCCACUCAAAUAACAAAUUUACUAAUUCAGGUUGUGCUAGCUUUUGCAGUCUUAGUAGAGAGAAUGAAAACGGCUUUCAAAGGAUCUAGCCCCUGUUCUUAUCAACAAGGCCUGCAAUCAAAUGCUUCUUGUUUGUUGUUCUCUGGUCUUUGUAUUAUUUCACCAAAUGGUUUCUGUAUUAAUUCGAUGAAUGGUUACACUAUUCACACAAUAAGGUGAUCAUCCUUGUCAUUCAGAUCAGAUAACUUUAUAUUCUUUGCAUCCCUCCUAUUGGGAUUCCUAGAUAGCUCCAUAUAUAGAGAUGUACAUGUAUUUAUAUUCUUUAUUUUCUACAUUCCAACUAUGAAAGAGUUGUACGCUGACUGAGAUGGCAACAACGACCUUUCGUGCACCACCAACGCAGGCGGCUUGCCUUCAUCAUCCCUGAGCUAUGGAAGGAGCACCAAGGUUAAAGAUGACCUCCAGGUCGAGCAAGGCAACAGAUUAAAGGAAAUCCCCAAACAGAAAGGGAAGGCACGUCAUCCCCACUCUACCUUGGUCCUCUUACUUCAGUUACUAUGCAUUUUAGUCUGUUCUUCAGAAUUCACUCAGUAAAUUAACAUAUUUGAGAGACAUAGUUCUUGAGAAUUGAAUAUAGUUAGGUUUUUUACGCUCCAUCCACAUCACUAAAAAAGGGAAAGAUUCAAUUAUAGUUAAUCCUGGCAUUUCGAGGGUGAAAAAUGCUACAUUUUCUGGUAGACUAGAAGUGAGAGUACUAUUUCUCACGCAAGAUCAUUUUAAGGCAGCUUCAAUCUGCAUAAAUCUUAGAUGAGAUGAUAUGUUGUUCUGCUGUGAAGAAAGGCUCAGGUUGCCAUGACGCUUGGCUGAAUGGAUCCAUGUUUCCUUGGAAAGCGUCGGAUACUUGGAAGGUGUAGACGGACCUCACCGGGGGAAGAAGACAACCACGCCGUCGAUUCAGAGCAUCCAAUGAUAGUUCAUUUUGCAUGGAGGACUAGCGCAGGGAAGGUUGCUGCAACGGUAUGUUGAGACGGCGGAGGAAGGUUUGCUAAACCUACUAAUAUGUACUACAAUUUCCAUAAAGAUAAUGUUGCAUGGAGGACUAGGGCGGGGAAGGUUGCAGCCGAUGAUGUUGACAUUGCUAAUAUCUUCUAUUCAAGUUAACUGAUGUUGUGAAAUUGCUAAUAAUUGGUUAGCUUUAUUACACUAACGUAUAGGGGAAGUAGAUAGCAAAAUUUUGGGAACUUCUCUUUCUGAAACAUGGCCGUAUUGCUUACAUGCUCUAUAUUGUUAGGAGCUGCUAAAAUAGGUACAGUUUGGUUUAUUUAAUUUUUCCUUUUCCUAAGGAUAUAGUUAGAAUGUAUCCAUGUUGUUUGAUUAGUCUAUGUGUUAACUGUCUUUACCAAUAUUUUAUACAGAUCAUAUACUUGAAAAACCUUUAAUCUUUACAUGCAGGAGAUAAGGAUCUUUGUGAAGGUUCCGUAGAUUCAGUUUUGGGCAUUGAUGAUUCAUUGUGUUCUCCUUCUACUCCAUGAUGAUUUUAAAGAGAAAUAAUGUUUAUUUUCGUGAUAAAGUAAGAUCUUAAAUUUGACAA